Molecule: ribosomal RNA, 164 nt
Filed under: Hordeum brachyantherum subsp. californicum
Lineage: Eukaryota; Viridiplantae; Streptophyta; Magnoliopsida; Poales; Poaceae
Description: 5.8S ribosomal RNA
Rfam family: 5.8S ribosomal RNA
About the family: 5.8S ribosomal RNA (5.8S rRNA) is a component of the large subunit of the eukaryotic ribosome. It is transcribed by RNA polymerase I as part of the 45S precursor that also contains 18S and 28S rRNA.
Source: RNAcentral
CACACGACUCUCGGCAACGGAUAUCUCGGCUCUCGCAUCGAUGAAGAACGUAGCAAAAUGCGAUACCUGGUGUGAAUUGCAAAAUCCCGUGAACCAUCGAGUUUUUGGACGCAAGUUGCGCCCGAGGCCUUCUGGCUGAGGGCACGCCUGCCUGGGCGUCACGC